Molecule: ribosomal RNA, 440 nt
Filed under: uncultured bacterium
Lineage: Bacteria
Description: partial 16S ribosomal RNA
Rfam family: Bacterial small subunit ribosomal RNA
Source: RNAcentral
CCUACGGGGGUCAGCAGUGGGGAAUAUUGCACAAUGGGGGAAACCCUGAUGCAGCGACGCCGCGUGAGUGAAGAAGUAAUUCGUUAUGUAACGCUCUAUCAGCAGGGAAGAAAAUGACGGUACCUGAGUAAGAAGCCCCGGCUAACUACGUGCCAGCAGCCGCGGUAAUACGUAGGGGGCAAGCGUUAUCCGGAUUUACUGGGUGGAAAGGGAGCGUAGACGGCAGUGCAAGUCUGGAGUGAAAGGCGGGGGCUCAACCCCCGGACUGCUCUGGAAACUGUACGGCUGGAGUGCAGGAGAGGUAAGUGGAAUUCCUAGUGUAGCGGUGAAAUGCGUAGAUAUUAGGAGGAACACCAGUGGCGAAGGCGGCUUACUGGACUGUAACUGACGUUGAGGCUCGAAAGCGUGGGGAGCAAACAGGAUUAGAUACCCUGGUAGUC